This 866-nucleotide ribosomal RNA is filed under the name Pseudomonas sp. SK203. Its description in RNAcentral is "bacterial SSU rRNA". It matches the Rfam family "Bacterial small subunit ribosomal RNA", at positions 1 to 866 of the family's 1533-position model. The record is from RNAcentral. Lineage: Bacteria; Pseudomonadati; Pseudomonadota; Gammaproteobacteria; Pseudomonadales; Pseudomonadaceae.
UUUAGAGUUUUGAUCAUGGCUCAGAUGAACGCUGGCGCCAGGCCUUAACACAUGCAAGUCGAGCGGAUGAGAGGAGCUUGCUCCUGGAUUCAGCGGCGGACGGGGUGAGUAAUGCCUAGGAAUCUGCCUGGUAGUGGGGGACAACGUUUCGAAAGGAACGCUAAUACCGCAUACGUCUACGGGAGAAAGCAGGGGACCUUCGGGCCUGCGCUAUCAGAUGAGCCUAGGUCGGAUUAGCUAGUUGGUGAGGUAAUGGCUCACCAAGGCGACGAUCCGUAACUGGUCUGAGAGGAUGAUCAGUCACACUGGAACUGAGACACGGUCCAGACUCCUACGGGAGGCAGCAGUGGGGAAUAUUGGACAAUGGGCGAAAGCCUGAUCCAGCCAUGCCGCGUGUGUGAAGAAGGUCUUCGGAUUGUAAAGCACUUUAAGUUGGGAGGAAGGGUUGUAGAUUAAUACUCUGCAAUUUUGACGUUACCGACAGAAUAAGCACCGGCUAACUCUGUGCCAGCAGCCGCGGUAAUACAGAGGGUGCAAGCGUUAAUCGGAAUUACUGGGCGUAAAGCGCGCGUAGGUGGUUUGUUAAGUUGGAUGUGAAAUCCCCGGGCUCAACCUGGGAACUGCAUCCAAAACUGGCAAGCUAGAGUAUGGUAGAGGGUGGUGGAAUUUCCUGUGUAGCGGUGAAAUGCGUAGAUAUAGGAAGGAACACCAGUGGCGAAGGCGACCACCUGGACUGAUACUGACACUGAGGUGCGAAAGCGUGGGGAGCAAACAGGAUUAGAUACCCUGGUAGUCCACGCCGUAAACGAUGUCAACUAGCCGUUGGGAGCCUUGAGCUCUUAGUGGCGCAGCUAACGCAUUAAGUG